GACGAACGCUGGCGGCGUGCUUAACACAUGCAAGUCGAACGAAGUGGCGAACGGGUGAGUAACGAGUAGUCACCCUGACCUUCAGAGGGGGACAACAGUUGGAAACGACUGCUAAUACCGCAUAAUGAAGGACGGGCUUGUGUCUGAUUAGCUAGUUGGCGGGGUACCGGCCCACCAAGGCGAUGCUCAGUAGCCGGUCUGAGAGGAUGAACGGCCAAAUUGGGACUGAGACACGGCCCAGACUCCUACGGGAGGCAGCAGUGGGGAAUCUUCCGCAAUGGACGAAAGUCUGACGGAGCAACGCCGCGUGAGUGAUGACGGCCUUCGGGUUGUAAAGCUCUGUUAAUCGGGACGCGGUACCGGAAUAGAAAGCCACGGCUAACUACGUGCCAGCAGCCGCGGUAAUUC
RNAcentral lists this ribosomal RNA (408 nucleotides) under uncultured bacterium. Its description in RNAcentral is "partial 16S ribosomal RNA". It matches the Rfam family "Bacterial small subunit ribosomal RNA", at positions 28 to 526 of the family's 1533-position model. The record is from RNAcentral.